UACGAAGGUGGCAAGCGUUACCCGGAUUUACUGGGCGUAAAGCGUCUGUAGAUGGUCAGAAUAGUUUUUGGUUAAAUCUUGAGGCUUAACCUCAAGACCGCCAAGAAUACUUUCUAACUAGAGGUUGGGAGAGGUAAGCGGAAUUGCCGGUGUAGUAGUAAAAUGCGUUGAUAUCGGCAAGAACACCAAAAGCAAAGGCAGCUUACUAGAACACACCUGACAUUGAGAGACGAAAGCGUGGGUAGCGAAUGGG
RNAcentral lists this ribosomal RNA (253 nucleotides) under uncultured bacterium. RNAcentral describes it as "partial 16S ribosomal RNA". It matches the Rfam family "Bacterial small subunit ribosomal RNA", at positions 524 to 776 of the family's 1533-position model. The record is from RNAcentral.